This 516-nucleotide ribosomal RNA is filed under the name Bacteroidota bacterium. Its description in RNAcentral is "bacterial SSU rRNA". It matches the Rfam family "Bacterial small subunit ribosomal RNA", at positions 1 to 502 of the family's 1533-position model. Lineage: Bacteria; Pseudomonadati; Bacteroidota. The record is from RNAcentral.
ACAAUGGAGAGUUUGAUCCUGGCUCAGGAUAAACGCUAGCGGCAGGCCUAACACAUGCAAGUCGAGGGGCAGCGUAACGGGUAGCAAUACCUGUUGACGGCGACCGGCGCACGGGUGCGUAACGCGUAUGUAACCUACCGUUCACAGGGGGAUAGUCAGAGGAAACUUUGAAUAAUACCGCAUAAAACAGGGGUCCGGCAUCGGAAUAUUUGUUAAAGGUGGCGACACGGUGAACGAUGGGCAUGCGUUCGAUUAGAUAGUUGGUGAGGUAACGGCUCACCAAGUCUACGAUCGAUAGGGGGUCUGAGAGGAUUAUCCCCCACACUGGUACUGAGAUACGGACCAGACUCCUACGGGAGGCAGCAGUGAGGAAUAUUGGGCAAUGGGCGAAAGCCUGACCCAGCCAUGCCGCGUGCAGGAAGACGGCCCUAUGGGUUGUAAACUGCUUUUACUCGGGAAGAAUAAGGGUUACGUGUAACCCGAUGACGGUACCGAAAGAAUAAGCAUCGGCUAACU